UACUAGAGUAGCACUUGCAUAUCAAUAAGCGGAGGAAAAGAAACUAACAAGGAUUCCCCUAGUAACGGCGAGUGAAGCGGGAAGAGCUCAAAUUUGAAAUCUUAAAGGGUUUCCCUUUACGAAUUGUAGUUUAAAGAAGUGUUUUCUGUUGAGGUUUUGGUAAAAGUUCUUUGGAAUAGGACAUCAUAGAGGGUGAGAAUCCCGUAUUUGACCUUUACUUUCAACUUUGUGAUACACUUUCAAAGAGUCGGAUUGUUUGGGAAUGCAGUCCAAAAUGGGUGGUAAAUUUCAUCUAAAGCUAAAUAUUGGCGAGAGACCGAUAGCGAACAAGUACCGUGAGGGAAAGAUGAAAAGAACUUUGAAAAGAGAGUUAAACAGUACGUGAAAUUGUCAAGAGGGAAGCAUUUGACACCAGUGUUGUUUUUCUGAAAAUCAAUUAAAGAACUGUUUAUGCUAAGCUGUUUAGACUUUAUCAGCUAUCUGUUUAGUUUUGAGCUUUUCUUUAAUGCACUUUUCAGUUAACAAGUCAACAUCAAUUUCUUUUGCUGUAAAAAAGCUUGAGGAAGGUGGCUUGAGAUUCGUCUUAAGUGUUUAUAGCCUCUUGCCUAUGCAGUCGGAGAGAUUGAGGUCUGCAGCGUAGAUCCUUCGGGGCUAAAUGCAUUUGUGCUAAGUUAUAGCAUUUCAUAGACAACUUGUUGACUAUGAUUUGUCUUGUAGCUUACUCGCUUAUGUUAUUUUACCUACGCUUAGGAUGUUGAUCUACAGAGCGAGAGU
This 774-nucleotide ribosomal RNA is filed under the name uncultured Neocallimastigales. RNAcentral describes it as "partial large subunit ribosomal RNA". It matches the Rfam family "Eukaryotic large subunit ribosomal RNA", at positions 16 to 640 of the family's 3401-position model. The record is from RNAcentral. Lineage: Eukaryota; Fungi; Neocallimastigomycota; Neocallimastigomycetes; Neocallimastigales.